Long non-coding RNA from Macadamia integrifolia, 1813 nucleotides. RefSeq lists it as uncharacterized. NCBI's taxonomy places the organism in Eukaryota, Viridiplantae, Streptophyta, Magnoliopsida, Proteales, Proteaceae. The record is from RefSeq and is a predicted model, not a curated record. The transcript is spliced from 10 exons.
GCCUCGCUUCACCGCUUGUCUCCUGAGCGUAAGUCCAAGAGUUUGUGAAAGGAGCUUGUUACUGGUUGCCGCGAACACUCUCGACCGCAACGCCUAAGGUUCAGGUGAGAGUUUUUCAGGUUCUGAGGAACCGAAGACCACAAAACAAAAUGUUUAUUUUGGGUGGAUCCUUGAUCGAUGCUUAUGGUCAAGGAAGAGCCUUUAGAACUUGUGGGAAUUCUUUUGAAAGUGGUACAUGCGGAGAAGGAGGGGUCCUUUGAACUCCUAGGUGAAAAUAGAAAAGUCACGAAUGAAUAGGAUUUUGUGUUGGAGCUUUCAAAAGGGAAGCCCUGCUCUUUCAGCACAGAUGGGUGAUACAUGGAGAAUUGUUACUGGAGCCACUGUCCAAAUGCAGAGGAAGUCAAGCAGGCUUUUGGACUCUGCAGGACAAUUCAACCUCGAAGAUAAAGCUUAAUCCAGAUCAAAAUAAAAGUCCACUCUUCCGAAAAUGGGAAACUGUAAUUUCACAAGUCUUCAAUCUCUCACCAUUGGCGGAUAUCCUGCUCCCAUGUCCAUUCCGAAGACCAUUCUUCCCACCAACCUUAGAUCCAGAAUUGUCCAAUGCUAGAAAAACGGUGCCUAGAGAAGGAAGGGGAAGAGUGAUCCAAGGUUUCUCAAAUCCCUGAAGUAACAAUAGAUAGCCAAAUUCAAUAAGGCCCAACCACUUUAAGUGAGAUAUGAAGAGCAUGAUUCAAUGACACUACAGACAUACAGGGCAGAUCAUUAUUAUUAUGGGAUUUUUUAUGGAUGGAAUGCUCAUCAACCAUGCAGGCAUGGCUGCGUCAAGUGGAUGUCAGAGGUUAUACAUGGUUAAGCAUAACAAUUAGUGCCUAGUGGGCACUUCAGAAAGCACUGGCAGAAUUCUGUCGAGACCUGGUUUAACUAUCCUGCUCACAAGAAUAGAAGACGUCCUCAUAAGUACCUCCAUCAGACUGUACGAUACCCAGUGAAGCAUCCUGAGAUAUUUGAAAAGUUUGGAUAUCUCCAUCUAGAGGGGUCCUCUUCUUUGGGCCUCAACAAAUGUGGUAAAACCCUUCUUGCAAAGGCAAUUGCUAGUGAGUGCCAACCCAACUUCAUCAGUGUGCAAGUUAACAGAGUUUCUCAUCAAGUGGUUCUUGUAAAGUGAGGUCAAUAUGCAAGAGCUAUUUGACAAGGCAGGCCAGUCAGCCCCAUGUGGUCUUUUCUUUGAUGAACUUGGUCUGAUUGCGAUUAAGGUACUAUGUCCCAUAACUCCGUUGGCUAUUUUGGCGCAAGUAAUUGUUAAUUUAACUUUCCUAAUCCUUUCUACAAGGGUGUGAACAUUGUCAAAGUUCGUUUUGAAGAGUUCCGGCCAGCUUCUCUUUAUUGUUAUGUAACAACAUGAUGUGGCUCAGCAAGACUCACUCACCUAGUAGCCUGAGUUAAACUUGGGAUAAGACCAAUUCAGAGGCUUCUGGUUAUUGAGAUAGGGAGGCGAAAGAGAGAGAACUUGAUUCUAAUUGGCACAGAUCAUACUGAUGGAGGCUUUUAUCGUGGAUCGAUUAUAUUGUUAUAGUUUUGGGAACGAAGUUUCCAUAGCAAUACAUUUAGCAGCAGUUUUUGGGCUUUUGAGAUGGUAAUUUCUGUUGCAAAAAAUCUUAUUUUGUUGUAGUGAUCCCUUUAUAUUUGGUUAACAUGUUGAGCAACUCUACGUGGGGUACAGUCUUUCUUCUUUGUUAAGAUUUUAUUUUCUGUUAUAAUUUAAAAUAACCUUGUUUAGAUUUUGGAUUUUUAAUAAAAUGUUGAUUUGGAAUUA